UCAGCAGUCCAGAAUAUUAGUCAAUGCUCGAAAGAGUGAACUAGCUAACUGAAAUCAAUAAAAUAAUUGAUAACAUAAGGGAAAAUAAUGAUAUUACCUUAUUAUUAGUGUCGUCCAAAACUGGUGCCAGAAGACUCGGUAAGGCCAGAGACACAAACGUUAAUCGUCUUAAUCAGGCGUAAAGGGUUUGUAGGCGGCUUUAAAAUUUACUUACAAAACAAAAAUAAUAAGUAAAGAAUAAAAGCUAGAAUCAAAUAGAGGAUAUAUGAAAGAAUGCUUAGAGUAGGUCUGAUAUCCUUAGAUACUAAGUAGAAUAUUAAAGGCGAAAGCUUUUUUCCAUUAAUGAUUGACGCUCAGAAACGAAGGUGAGGAUAGGAAAUAGGAUUAGAUACCCAGAAUACCCCUCUCUGUCAACGAUGAAUGGUAGUUAUUAGUACAAAUUAUUAAUGGCAAUGUUAACACGAUAACCAUUCCGCCUUGUGAGUACAACUGCAAAGUUGAAAACAAAAAAAUUAGUCGGUUUCGGAGCAAACGAAGUGAAGCAUGUUAUUUAAUUCGAUAAUCCGC
RNAcentral lists this ribosomal RNA (567 nucleotides) under Russula sp. RNAcentral's name for it is "SSU rRNA". It matches the Rfam family "Bacterial small subunit ribosomal RNA", at positions 348 to 962 of the family's 1533-position model. The record is from RNAcentral. Lineage: Eukaryota; Fungi; Basidiomycota; Agaricomycetes; Russulales; Russulaceae.